GCCGGGCGCAGUGGCGCACGCCUGUAGUCCCAGCUACUCGGGAGUCUGAGACAGGAGGAUCGAUUGAGUCCAGGAGUUCUGGGCUGUAGUGCGCUAUGCCGAUCCGGUGUCCGCACUAAGUUCGGCAUCAAUAUGGUGACCUCCCGGGAGCGGGGGACCACCAGGUUGCCUAAGGAGGGGUGAACCGGCCCAGGUCGGAAAAGACAAAGAAUAAAAUUACAUUUCGUUGUUGUUUAAAGUAUGUCAAUAAAGAAGAAAAUAAAUAACCAAUAUACAGAAUGAGUAGGAAAAUAUUUUCUU
RNAcentral lists this signal recognition particle RNA (300 nucleotides) under Peromyscus maniculatus bairdii (prairie deer mouse). RNAcentral's name for it is "Metazoan signal recognition particle RNA (ENSPEMG00000004963.2)". It matches the Rfam family "Metazoan signal recognition particle RNA", at positions 1 to 253 of the family's 299-position model. Rfam says of the family: The signal recognition particle (SRP) is a universally conserved ribonucleoprotein. It is involved in the co-translational targeting of proteins to membranes. The record is from Rfam by way of RNAcentral. Lineage: Eukaryota; Metazoa; Chordata; Mammalia; Rodentia; Cricetidae.